RNAcentral lists this long non-coding RNA (557 nucleotides) under Helianthus annuus (common sunflower). The record is from RNAcentral. Lineage: Eukaryota; Viridiplantae; Streptophyta; Magnoliopsida; Asterales; Asteraceae.
UUUUGUUUUGAUCAAAGUUGGGUUAUGCAGGUAAGUGUUCAAUCUCAUGUUAAUUUGAAAACGCCUCAAUCUUAAGCUUCAAGAUCUCGAGUAAAUGUGAUGUUUAUUUAUGUUACUUAAUAACAGGUAAAUGGGGGAUAUCUACAAAUUUUGAUGGUACACGACUUUUCAUUAACGACAAUUUUGAUCAGAUGCUGACAUUCAAGGAAAAAAUCUUAAUACAAUGUUGGGUCGAAGAUGCUGGAGAAUGAACUUAAGCGUAAUUUGGAUGCCGUUUAUGAUGUGGAUUUAUGUUCUUCUCAGUCUUCUACUAAACCGCCUAAAGGUGAUUGUGAGAACAAUGAAGGUUUGAAUGUGAAGGUGGGUCUUUUGAAUCCAAAGCUGGAAAAGUAGUCUCAGAAUCUAAUAGUCAUCUGAGUUUCUUCAAACAGUUUUCAAUGUUUUUUUUUUCGUUCAAUCGUAUUCAGAACAUUUAUGUCAGUACUUGAUGUUGCUUUUUACUCAAUAUUUGUUGCGGUUUAUCUUGAUUUUCGUUUAUUAUUGUUAUAUCAAUAAGA